Molecule: transfer RNA, 70 nt
Filed under: Montfortula punctata
Lineage: Eukaryota; Metazoa; Mollusca; Gastropoda; Lepetellida; Fissurellidae
Description: tRNA-Leu
Source: RNAcentral
GCUUGGGUGGCAGAGUAAGUGCGUUAGACUUAAGAUUUAAACAUGGGGUUUGAUUUGACCUCUCCAGGCA